This 384-nucleotide unclassified non-coding RNA is filed under the name Hevea brasiliensis (rubber tree). Lineage: Eukaryota; Viridiplantae; Streptophyta; Magnoliopsida; Malpighiales; Euphorbiaceae. The record is from RNAcentral.
UAAAAAAAAAAAAAAAAAAGAAAUACCUUUUCUCAUUUUCAUUUACUCCAAUAGUUACUGAUAAUUCUGAAACAUUAUAUCCUAUAGAAUGGAUCCCACAAAGUUCAUGUGUAGGAUUAGAUAAAAAAUAACCCACCAGCAGAAUCUGAUCUAGGAAAAAUAGCUUUAUGGGUUAAGUUUUUCUCCCUUAUACUGGAAGGGUUAGGUCUUGUUUUGAAAUAGUUCCAGAAUUAUGAAAAUUUGGAAAAAAAAAAUUGUCCUUUCUUGCCGCACAUUAGAGUUGCAUAGUGUGUCUUUAUGGCUUCUUUAACAUGCAUGAAAUUGUGGAUUAAAAACUUGUUUGUUCUAAUAAUUCAUUGCCAUUGCCCAAUUUGUGGAAAUUGG